CCUCACCUUCGGUACAACACUAAACGAGAAGCCUGACUUAACUUGUUUUUGGUUGGGGCGACCAAGGAGAAAAACAAAACCUCCUUAUCGAGUGUGUGAGCACUCACUCAAAAAUUAGAACCACCAUUCUAAUUAAUAGAAAAAUCUAACGAACAAUGACCCAGGGAGCCCUCCCUGAUCAAUGGACCAAGUUACCCUAGGAUA
Molecule: ribosomal RNA, 204 nt
Filed under: Maculabatis cf. ambigua
Lineage: Eukaryota; Metazoa; Chordata; Chondrichthyes; Myliobatiformes; Dasyatidae
Description: partial large subunit ribosomal RNA
Source: RNAcentral